AGUGCCAGGUUGCAAAUCUGGCUGUCGUGAUGCCUAAAAAGCAUUGCAUAGCAAGGGCCGGGCAAGACCGGUGCCAGCCGCCGCGGUAACACCGGCGGCUCGAGUGGUAACCGUUAUUAUUGGGUCUAAAGGGUCUGUAGCCGGCCGGAUAAGUCUCUUGGGAAAUCUGGCAGCUUAACUGUCAGGCUUUCAGGAGAUACUGUCUGGCUCGAGGCCGGGAGAGGUGAGAGGUACUUCAGGGGUAGGGGUGAAAUCUUGUAAUCCUUGAAGGACCACCAGUGGCGAAGGCGUCUCACCAGAACGGACCUGACGGCAAGGGACGAAAGCUAGGGGCACGAACCGGAUUAGAUACCCGGGUAGUCCUAGCCGUAAACGAUACUCGCUAGGUGUCGGCCACGGUGCGACCGUGGUCGGUGCCGUAGGGAAGCCGUGAAGCGAGCCACCUGGGAAGUACGGCCGCAAGGCUGAAACUUAAAGGAAUUGGCGGGGGAGCAC
This 495-nucleotide ribosomal RNA is filed under the name uncultured archaeon. RNAcentral describes it as "bacterial SSU rRNA". It matches the Rfam family "Archaeal small subunit ribosomal RNA", at positions 384 to 879 of the family's 1478-position model. The record is from RNAcentral.